UAAUAAAAUAAUUAUGUUUUUAUUAAUUUAUUAUAAAUUUAUUUUACAUAUAAAUUUUAGUAUGAAUUUUUAAUUAUUUUAAAAAUAAUUAAUUAAUUAGGUAGUAAUUAAUAUUAAAAAUUUAAGAAAUUAAGAUUUAGUAAUAUAAAAAUUAAUAACUAAUUUUGUGCCAGCAGUUGCGGUUAAACAAAUAUUAAAUUAAAUUAUUUCAGUUUAUAAUAAAUAAAAUAUGAAUUAAAAUAAAUAUUAAAUUAUUAGGUGAAAUUUUAAUUUAAUUAAAUUUUAUAUUAAUUUUAUGAUUUAAUAAAUUUAAAAAUAAACUAGGAUUAGAUACCCUAUUAUUAAAAAUUAAUUUAUAAUACUAAAAUAGUAAAUAAUAAUUUAUUGAAACUUAAAUAAUAUGGCGGUAUUUUAGUUCAUUUAGAGGAAUCUGUCUAAUAAUUGAUAAUCCACGAAUAAAUUUACUUAAUUUAGAAUUUUGUAUAUCAUUGUUAAAAAUAUUUUUUAGUAAAAUUAAUAUUUAAAAUUUAAAAUAAAAAUUUAAUUCAGAUCAAGAUGCAGAAUAUAAUUAAGAAUAUGAUGGAUUACAAUAAAUAUAUUUAAAUGGAUUUUUUUUUUGGAAUAAUAAAUUAAAAGUGGAUUUAAAUGUAAUUUUAAUUAAUUUAUUAAAAUGAUUAAAAAUUGAAAUAUGUACAUAUUGCCCGUCACUUUCAUUUAAAAGUUGAAAUAAGUCGUAACAAAGUAGAAGUACUGGAAAGUGUUUCUAGAAAGAU
This 773-nucleotide non-coding RNA is filed under the name Symbrenthia silana. Lineage: Eukaryota; Metazoa; Arthropoda; Insecta; Lepidoptera; Nymphalidae. The record is from RNAcentral.